This 74-nucleotide transfer RNA is filed under the name Rhodobacter xanthinilyticus. RNAcentral's name for it is "Rhodobacter sp. LPB0142 tRNA". It matches the Rfam family "tRNA". Rfam says of the family: Transfer RNA (tRNA) molecules are approximately 80 nucleotides in length. Their secondary structure includes four short double-helical elements and three loops (D, anti-codon, and T loops). Lineage: Bacteria; Pseudomonadati; Pseudomonadota; Alphaproteobacteria; Rhodobacterales. The record is from Rfam by way of RNAcentral.
GCACCCAUAGCUCAGCUGGAUAGAGCGCUGCCCUCCGAAGGCAGAGGCCAGGGGUUCGAAUCCCUUUGGGUGCG